UACAGAGGGUGCAAACGUUGUUCGGAAUUACUGGGCGUAAAGCGCGUGUAGGCGGCCCUGCAAGUCGGGUGUGAAAUCCCACGGCUCAACCGUGGAAGUGCACUCGAAACUGCAGGGCUAGAGUCCUGGAGAGGAAGGUGGAAUGCUUGGUGUAGAGGUGAAAUUCGUAGAUAUCAAGCGGAACACCGGUGGCGAAGGCGGCCUUCUGGACAGUGACUGACGCUGAGACGCGAAAGCGUGGGGAGCAAACAGG
Molecule: ribosomal RNA, 253 nt
Filed under: uncultured bacterium
Lineage: Bacteria
Description: partial 16S ribosomal RNA
Rfam family: Bacterial small subunit ribosomal RNA
Source: RNAcentral